GUUCAGCAAGAGCCAAAUUAUGUUGUAUAAGUUAAUAUUAUUCAUGUUGAGUUACAGGGUCUGGUGGAAUCUAUAGAAAUAAUCUGAAACAAAUUUUUGUUUCUCACAUUCACUUGAAAUAAAUUUGGGGACAAAUAGAUCUGUCAAAACAAGGAAAUUUUUUUUUUUUUUAAAUAUAGCAAUGUCACUUCUCCUUUUCUUUGUUAAUUGUCUCACCUUUUCCCUGACCAUUUGUGAAUUUCUGUCUAAAG
RNAcentral lists this long non-coding RNA (251 nucleotides) under Marmota monax (woodchuck). Lineage: Eukaryota; Metazoa; Chordata; Mammalia; Rodentia; Sciuridae. The record is from RNAcentral.